RNAcentral lists this ribosomal RNA (253 nucleotides) under uncultured bacterium. RNAcentral's name for it is "partial 16S ribosomal RNA". It matches the Rfam family "Bacterial small subunit ribosomal RNA", at positions 524 to 776 of the family's 1533-position model. The record is from RNAcentral.
UACGUAGGGAGCAAGCGUUGUCCGGAAUCAUUGGGCGUAAAGCGCGCGUAGGUGGCCCCAUAAGUCCGCUGUGAAAGUCAAAGGCUCAACCUUUGAAAGCCGGUGGAUACUGUGGGACUAGAGUACGGAAGAGGCGAGUGGAAUUCCUGGUGUAGCGGUGGAAUGCGCAGAUAUCAGGAGGAACACCAAUGGCGAAGGCAGCUCGCUGGGACGUGACUGACGCUGAGACGCGAAAGCGUGGGGAGCAAACAGG